AUUGAACGCUGGCGGCAGGCUUAACACAUGCAAGUCGAGCGGGGGAAGGUAGCUUGCUACCGGACCUAGCGGCGGACGGGUGAGUAAUGCUUAGGAAUCUGCCUAUUAGUGGGGGACAACAUCUCGAAAGGGAUGCUAAUACCGCAUACGUCCUACGGGAGAAAGCAGGGGAUCUUCGGACCUUGCGCUAAUAGAUGAGCCUAAGUCGGAUUAGCUAGUUGGUGGGGUAAAGGCCUACCAAGGCGACGAUCUGUAGCGGGUCUGAGAGGAUGAUCCGCCACACUGGGACUGAGACACGGCCCAGACUCCUACGGGAGGCAGCAGUGGGGAAUAUUGGUCAAUGGGGGGAACCCUGAUCCAGCCAUGCCGCGUGUGUGAAGAAGGCCUUAUGGUUGUAAAGCACUUUAAGCGAGGAGGAGGCUACUUUAGUUAAUACCUAGAGAUAGGUGACGUUACUCGCAGAAUAAGCACCGGCUAACUCUGUG
This 485-nucleotide ribosomal RNA is filed under the name uncultured bacterium. RNAcentral's name for it is "partial 16S ribosomal RNA". It matches the Rfam family "Bacterial small subunit ribosomal RNA", at positions 30 to 507 of the family's 1533-position model. The record is from RNAcentral.